GGCAUAGCUCAGUGGCAGAGCAUCUGCUAGGCAUGCAGAAGGUCUGAGGUUCAAUCCCUGGCAUCUCUA
Podarcis lilfordi (Lilford's wall lizard) is the source of this 69-nucleotide non-coding RNA. The record is from the annotation of a GenBank genome assembly. NCBI's taxonomy places the organism in Eukaryota, Metazoa, Chordata, Lepidosauria, Squamata, Lacertidae.